RNAcentral lists this ribosomal RNA (787 nucleotides) under uncultured Neocallimastigales. Its description in RNAcentral is "partial large subunit ribosomal RNA". It matches the Rfam family "Eukaryotic large subunit ribosomal RNA", at positions 24 to 646 of the family's 3401-position model. The record is from RNAcentral. Lineage: Eukaryota; Fungi; Neocallimastigomycota; Neocallimastigomycetes; Neocallimastigales.
UAUCUCUGUAGAGUCUGCAUAUCAAUAAGCGGAGGAAAAGAAACUAACUAAGGAUUCCCUCAGUAACGGCGAGUGAAGCGGGAAGAGCUCAAAUUUGAAAUCUUCAAGGUUCUACCUUGACGAAUUGUAGUUUAAAGAAGUGUUUUCUGUUGAAGUUUUGGUAAAAGUUCUUUGGAAUAGGACAUCAUAGAGGGUGAUGAAUCCCGUAUUGACCAGUUAUUUCCAGCUGUGUGAUUACACUUUCAAAGAGUCGGAUUGUUUGGGAAUGCAGUCCAAAAUGGGUGGUAAAUUUCAUCUAAAGCUAAAUACUGGCGAGAGACCGAUAGCGAACAAGUACCGUGAGGGAAAGAUGAAAAGAACUUUGAAAAGAGAGUUAAACAGUACGUGAAAUUGUCAAAAGGGAAGCGUUUGACACCAGUGUUGUUUUCUCGAAAAUCAAUUAAAAAAGUCAGGAUUUUGUAUUGUAAUUGACUCUAUCAGCUUUACUGCUACUCUUUUCUUGUCUUUUUUAAUGCACUUUUCGUUUAACAAGUCAACAUCAAUUUCUUUUGUUGUAAAAGAGUCAUUGGAAGGUGGCUUUCACUUUCGGUGAGAAGUGUUUAUAGCCCUAUUGCCUCUACAAUCGGAGAGAUUGAGGUCUGCAGCGUAGAUCCUUCGGGGUUAGAUACACUUUGUGCUAAGUUAGUAGCCUUUCAUAGACAACUUGUUGACUAUGAUCAGUCAUGUAGGCUUACUCGCUUAGUGCUAUUUUACCUACGCUUAGGAUGUUGACGAGACUGUCGAUCUC